RNAcentral lists this transfer RNA (72 nucleotides) under Myotis davidii. It matches the Rfam family "tRNA". Rfam says of the family: Transfer RNA (tRNA) molecules are approximately 80 nucleotides in length. Lineage: Eukaryota; Metazoa; Chordata; Mammalia; Chiroptera; Vespertilionidae. The record is from Rfam by way of RNAcentral.
GCCUAGGUAACUCAGUUGGUUAGAGUGUUGUCCUAUAUGCCAAAGUUGCAGGUUCAAUCUCUGUUCAGGGCA